UUUUAUGAGAGUUUGAUCCUGGCUCAGGACGAACGCUGGCGGCGUGCCUAAUACAUGCAAGUAGAACGCUGAAGUCUGGUGCUUGCACUAGACAGACGGAUGAGUUGCGAACGGGUGAGUAACGCGUAGGUAACCUGCCUCAUAGCGGGGGAUAACUAUUGGAAACGAUAGCUAAUACCGCAUAACAGUAUUUACCGCAUGGUAGAUAUUUGAAAGGAGCAAUUGCUUCACUAUGAGAUGGACCUGCGUUGUAUUAGCUAGUUGGUGAGGUAACGGCUCACCAAGGCUUCGAUACAUAGCCGACCUGAGAGGGUGAUCGGCCACACUGGGACUGAGACACGGCCCAGACUCCUACGGGAGGCAGCAGUAGGGAAUCUUCGGCAAUGGGGGCAACCCUGACCGAGCAACGCCGCGUGAGUGAAGAAGGUUUUCGGAUCGUAAAGCUCUGUUGUAAGAGAAGAACUGUGAGAAGAGUGGAAAGUUUCUCACUUGACGGUAUCUUACCAGAAAGGGACGGCUAACUACGUGCCAGCAGCCGCGGUAAUACGUAGGUCCCGAGCGUUGUCCGGAUUUAUUGGGCGUAAAGCGAGCGCAGGCGGUUUGAUAAGUCUGAAGUAAAAGGCUGUGGCUUAACCAUAGUACGCUUUGGAAACUGUCAAACUUGAGUGCAGAAGGGGAGAGUGGAAUUCCAUGUGUAGCGGUGAAAUGCGUAGAUAUAUGGAGGAACACCGGUGGCGAAAGCGGCUCUCUGGUCUGUAACUGACGCUGAGGCUCGAAAGCGUGGGGAGCGAACAGGAUUAGAUACCCUGGUAGUCCACGCCGUAAACGAUGAGUGCUAGGUGUUGGGUCCUUUCCGGGACUCAGUGCCGCAGCUAACGCAUUAAGCACUCCGCCUGGGGAGUACGACCGCAAGGUUGAAACUCAAAGGAAUUGACGGGGGCCCGCACAAGCGGUGGAGCAUGUGGUUUAAUUCGAAGCAACGCGAAGAACCUUACCAGGUCUUGACAUCCCGAUGACCGCCCUAGAGAUAGGGUUUCUCUUCGGAGCAUCGGUGACAGGUGGUGCAUGGUUGUCGUCAGCUCGUGUCGUGAGAUGUUGGGUUAAGUCCCGCAACGAGCGCAACCCCUAUUGUUAGUUGCCAUCAUUCAGUUGGGCACUCUAGCGAGACUGCCGGUAAUAAACCGGAGGAAGGUGGGGAUGACGUCAAAUCAUCAUGCCCCUUAUGACCUGGGCUACACACGUGCUACAAUGGCUGGUACAACGAGUCGCAAGUCGGUGACGGCAAGCUAAUCUCUUAAAGCCAGUCUCAGUUCGGAUUGUAGGCUGCAACUCGCCUACAUGAAGUCGGAAUCGCUAGUAAUCGCGGAUCAGCACGCCGCGGUGAAUACGUUCCCGGGCCUUGUACACACCGCCCGUCACACCACGAGAGUUUGUAACACCCGAAGUCGGUGAGGUAACCUUUUAGGAGCCAGCCGCCUAAGGUGGGAUAGAUGAUUGGGGUGAAGUCGUAACAAGGUAGCCGUAUCGGAAGGUGCGGCUGGAUCACCUCCUUU
Molecule: ribosomal RNA, 1553 nt
Filed under: Streptococcus suis
Lineage: Bacteria; Bacillati; Bacillota; Bacilli; Lactobacillales; Streptococcaceae
Description: bacterial SSU rRNA
Rfam family: Bacterial small subunit ribosomal RNA
Source: RNAcentral